GAUGUGGUUAAGUCCCGCAACGAGCGCAACCCCUAUUGUUAGUUGCCAUCAUUCAGUUGGGCACUCUAGCGAGACUGCCGGUAAUAAACCGGAGGAAGGUGGGGAUGACGUCAAAUCAUCAUGCCCCUUAUGACCUGGGCUACACACGUGCUACAAUGGUUGGUACAACGAGUUGCGAGUCGGUGACGGCGAGCUAAUCUCUUAAAGCCAAUCUCAGUUCGGAUUGUAGGCUGCAACUCGCCUACAUGAAGUCGGAAUCGCUAGUAAUCGCGGAUCAGCACGCCGCGGUGAAUACGUUCCCGGGCCUU
RNAcentral lists this ribosomal RNA (308 nucleotides) under uncultured Streptococcus sp. RNAcentral describes it as "bacterial SSU rRNA". It matches the Rfam family "Bacterial small subunit ribosomal RNA", at positions 1071 to 1382 of the family's 1533-position model. The record is from RNAcentral. Lineage: Bacteria; Bacillati; Bacillota; Bacilli; Lactobacillales; Streptococcaceae.